RNAcentral lists this ribosomal RNA (229 nucleotides) under uncultured bacterium. Its description in RNAcentral is "partial 16S ribosomal RNA". It matches the Rfam family "Bacterial small subunit ribosomal RNA", at positions 328 to 544 of the family's 1533-position model. The record is from RNAcentral.
ACGCUCGACACCUACGGGAGGCAGCAGUGAGGAAUAUUGGUCAAUGGGCGGCUAGCCUCGAACCACGCCAAGUAGGCGUGAAGGAUGAAGGCUCUAUGGGUCGUAACUUCUUUAUAUAAGAAAUAAAGUGCAGUAUGUAUACUUGUUUUGUAUGUAUUAUAUGAAUAAGGAGUCGGCUAACUCCGUCGCCCGCAGCCGGCGGUAAUCUGGAGGCGGGCGUGGCGAAGGC